RNAcentral lists this long non-coding RNA (2428 nucleotides) under Triticum aestivum (bread wheat). Its description in RNAcentral is "long non-coding RNA (TAES_LNC003872)". The record is from RNAcentral. Lineage: Eukaryota; Viridiplantae; Streptophyta; Magnoliopsida; Poales; Poaceae.
CGUGAGUAAUUCUUUCUUGUUAUGCUCUUGCCUUGUUUGUUUUGGAACCAUAAUAAUACGAGUUGUCUCUGCGGUGGCUUCGCAUGCCCAGCUCCGUUCCUGUGAUUACUACAAUAGCAGAGAAAAGUAACAAGGGUCAGAACAGAGCCCAACCAGAGUGAAACAUGCCAAUCACAACAUGCUCAUUUGCAGCCAACUCUGAUUUUGUUUGUUCAUCUAAUUGCAGCAGAGUGCAGACAUUUUCUGCGACCAGGCUCGCUUGAUUUGCUGCAAGAAAAUUAAUCAGCCCCACCCAUCAACUGAACAGCUGAUACUGCUGGGUACUUCAACUUCAGAGUUCAGAGAGCAGGCAGAAGGAACCAUCCCAGAAUGGGCAAGACGAGCCGGAGACGGGCUACGCAGAUCCAAGAGAACAAUGUAGGCUGCACUUGGGGCCUCAUCCGCAUGUUCUACUCCCGCCGCGACCCCAAGCUCAUCCUCGACAGAAAGCAAGGGAGCAGAAGGCACUCCUUCAGUGGAUUCGCUGGUACUUCCCUUGGUUUACAAACAACAGUUGUAUUAAUUGUGUCAAUACUACCAUCUUCAGUUCUUAUAAUCCAUGGUGUCCGUCCUUCGCUUCACACUUCUCUAUGCUACAAACUAGCAACAAAUCCAACUACAUUUAACUGGGAAAUACCAAGGCAUUCGGGAAAUGCAUCAAUCAGGCAGGCUGUAAAUUCUGUUAUUGGGAUUAAUUUGUACUGCUGCUAAUGCACCCUGCAUGGUUGCAGGAAGAGGGCACUCCAGAAACAAGUCCACAGACUUUGAGGAACCAGAUGAAGGCGGAGAUGUAAGUUCUCUACAGCAAUUAGCAAAUGGAAACGAUGCGGUUUCAAGAGUGAAAAAAGAGAUAUAUUAUUACUUUUCUUACUGUAGAUAGCAUAGUGCUUUCGUUGACACCACCACUCCACAAAGAUGCAGCAGAUGCAAGCAAGUUACUUGCAUAACAAAGUUGCUGUGACUUGUCGAAUUGAAAGUGUCAACUUGGUUUUAAUAGCAGCCAGCAAGUCUUCAAGGCAAAGUGUAGUUUAAUAUAAGUUGAGUAACAAUAAACAUAGAAAAAGCAGUUCUGAUAUGUCAACAAGCAUAGCUUGCUAUGCAUGGACUUGUAUUGAAGAACCAUCAUUCAGCCCCCCUUUGAUGCAAUACAGACCCUGUUCAAGCUUUGCUUGUGUCGUUUGUGCCGAAACUGAAUUUGUUGACCUUCUGAAAACCUAAGUGCAUUACUUACAACCUAUUCGGUUGCAAGUUACUGUCUCCAACUCCAAACCGAAACAAGAUACUCCCUCCUUCCCAAAAUAUAAGGCGCGAUUGACUUUUUACGGUCUUUGAUGCACAACUUUGACCACUAAUAUAUAUCAAAGUAUAUGGAUUGAACAUGUAUAAAUGACAUCGCUGUAUUUGUCUUGCAAAGCAAUUUUAUUUCAUAUGUAUGUAUAAUAAUUUUAUAGACAUAUAAUACAUAAAAAAUAUAGUCAAAGUUGUGCAACGAAGACCAGAAAAGUCAAACCGUGCCUUAUAUUUUGGGAAGGAGGGAGUAAUUUUUUUUAUUUACUUCCAAGUGCAUGCUAACAUAACAAAAUAAGAUUUACUUGUUUCCUGGUAAGAACUCAUUUUUGGUCUUAUAUUUCUUAGAACAUGGAGGAACGCAGUACUACGAAGCCAACUGUUAAAAGACUUAUGGAGGGCGAGCUGGGAAAGCUAAAACAGUCCAAGAAGAUUCCAAAUGAUGAAGUUCGAAGAAUAUUGGCUGACCUGGGACAUGAUGUCUGUCUGGACAAAGGUGCAAUGCAAAACAGCAAACCAAAUGGCGUCGCAAGUCCCCACCCAGGCAUCGGCAUUGCUUCUUCCUCUGGAUCCUUUGAUCCCGGUGGUUCCAACUGCAUGAAACAGGCAGAAGAAGAUGGCCUUGAGCUUGCUUUGUCAGAUUUCAUGGGACAGGUCUAUAAGUACCACGAUGAAGGGCCACAUGAUGAUUGCAGGAAUACGAGUGAAUUAUACCCUGAAUUAGAGUCCAUUAUACAUACAAAGAUUAAUGAAUAUAACAAUCCUCCAUGUGACCUUGAUUAUCAGAAAACACCGGUGAGUGAGGAAAAGCAGCUUGUUGACAACAAAUAUAUUUGCAACAGACAUGUAGGGGCCAGGCUCGAGCCCAAGAAAAUGCUUGAAAAAACAAACGUUGUUGAACAUACAAAGGCUUCAAAUCAGCGUGAGUUGGCUAUCAAAACAAAGAAUAAAGAGAGCAGGAAUAUAUUUUUCUGGAAGAAAGAUAAAUCAAGCAGAACACAUGCACCUGAAGGAAGGUCUUCUCAGCCAGUUAACAAAAUAGUAAUACUGAAGCCAAAUCCAAGGGGAGGAUUUGAUCCUACAGAAGCAACUGCAUCGACAU